RNAcentral lists this ribosomal RNA (466 nucleotides) under uncultured ammonia-oxidizing beta proteobacterium. Its description in RNAcentral is "bacterial SSU rRNA". It matches the Rfam family "Bacterial small subunit ribosomal RNA", at positions 198 to 645 of the family's 1533-position model. Lineage: Bacteria; Pseudomonadati; Pseudomonadota; Betaproteobacteria. The record is from RNAcentral.
GGAGGAAAGUAGGGGAUCGUAAGACCUUGCGCUUUUGGAGUGGCCGAUGCCUGAUUAGCUAGUUGGUGGGGUAAGAGCCUACCAAGGUGACGAUCAGUAGUUGGUCUGAGAGGACGACCAGCCACACUGGGACUGAGACACGGCCCAGACUCCUACGGGAGGCAGCAGUGGGGAAUCUUGGACAAUGGGCGAAAGCCUGAUCCAGCAAUGCCGCGUGAGUGAAGAAGGCCUUCGGGUUGUAAAGCUCUUUCAGUCGAGAAGAAAAGGUUGCGACUAAUAGUCGCAACUUAUGGCGGUAUCGACAGAAGAAGCACCGGCUAACUACGUGCCAGCAGCCGCGGUAAUACGUAGGGUGCGAGCGUUAAUCGGAAUUACUGGGCGUAAAGGGUGCGCAGGCGGCUCUGUAAGUCAGAUGUGAAAUCCCCGGGCUUAACCUGGGAAUUGCGUUUGAAACUACAAAGCUAGA